RNAcentral lists this ribosomal RNA (253 nucleotides) under uncultured bacterium. RNAcentral's name for it is "partial 16S ribosomal RNA". It matches the Rfam family "Bacterial small subunit ribosomal RNA", at positions 524 to 776 of the family's 1533-position model. The record is from RNAcentral.
UACGGAGGGUGCAAGCGUUAUCCGGAUUCACUGGGUUUAAAGGGUGCGUAGGCGGUCGGAUAAGUCUGAUGUGAAAUCUUCGAGCUCAACUCGGAAACUGCAUCGGAAACUAUUCGGCUAGAGGAUUGGAGGGGAGACUGGAAUUCUCGGUGUAGCAGUGAAAUGCGUAGAUAUCGAGAGGAACACCAGUGGCGAAGGCGAGUCUCUGGACAAUUCCUGACGCUGAGGCACGAAAGCUAGGGGAGCAAACAGG